UUUUGCAUAUCAAUAUGCGGAGGAAAAGAAACCAACAGGGAUUGCCUUAGUAGCGGCGAGUGAAGCGGCAAAAGCUCAAAUUUGAAAUCUGGCACUUUCAGUGUCCGAGUUGUAAUUUGAAGAAGGUAUCUUUGGGUCUGGCUCUUGUCUAUGUUUCUUGGAACAGAACGUCACAGAGGGUGAGAAUCCCGUGCGAUGAGAUGUCCCAGACCUAUGUAAAGUUCCUUCGAAGAGUCGAGUUGUUUGGGAAUGCAGCUCUAAGUGGGUGGUAAAUUCCAUCUAAAGCUAAAUAUUGGCGAGAGACCGAUAGCGAACAAGUACAGUGAUGGAAAGAUGAAAAGAACUUUGAAAAGAGAGUGAAAAAGUACGUGAAAUUGUUGAAAGGGAAGGGCUUGAGAUCAGACUUGGUAUUUUGUAUGUUACUCUCUCGGGGGUGGCCUCUACAGUUUACCGGGCCAGCAUCAGUUUGAGCGGUAGGAUAAGUGCAAAGAAAUGUGGCACUGCUUCGGUAGUGUGUUAUAGUCUUUGUCGAUACUGCCAGCUUAGACUGAGGACUGCGGCUUCGGCCUAGGAUGUUGGCAUAAUGAUCUUAAGUCGCCCGUCUUGAAACACGGACCAA
RNAcentral lists this ribosomal RNA (619 nucleotides) under Lodderomyces parapsilosis. Its description in RNAcentral is "LSU rRNA". It matches the Rfam family "Eukaryotic large subunit ribosomal RNA", at positions 34 to 669 of the family's 3401-position model. The record is from RNAcentral. Lineage: Eukaryota; Fungi; Ascomycota; Pichiomycetes; Serinales; Debaryomycetaceae.